This is a long non-coding RNA of Drosophila sechellia, 606 nucleotides long. RefSeq lists it as uncharacterized. The transcript is spliced from 2 exons. The record is from RefSeq and is a predicted model, not a curated record. Lineage: Eukaryota; Metazoa; Arthropoda; Insecta; Diptera; Drosophilidae.
CUUCCAUUCCGAAUGAUUCGCCGUGGGAAAUGGCCAAAAAUAAUAAGUCGAAAGCAGAACCACAGCUGCACUUCCGUAUCGAUUGCUGUUCGCUGUGCGGUCGGGGUGUCAUUUCGAUUUCAAUCACACGUGCACGCUUACACAGUUCCCAUCUCGGUCGGUGCCAUUUUUUAAACAAUAUUCCACUGCCAGCGCUUCAUCAUCAUACCCACAGCGCUGGGAAAUGGGAAGCUGGGCGCUCCGCAAGAAGAUGGAAAGCGUUGUUGCAUAAUCGUUGUCGGUUUUCAUUUCCUCACACCAACACGCAGCUGCGGAUGGCAGAAGAAAUACUGUCAACACUUGGAAAUUUUCGCCCCACUUCGAUGGCAACGUUUGGCACUUCCGGAAGUGUUCUGAAGGUCUAAACUCUAAGGCCUACUUAUGAGUCACACAAAAAUAAAUAUUUUCUUACUAGUUAAUUAAAGAAUAGAAUCUCAAUGAAUCAUUAUUUAUUAGUUCCCUCCAAUAAUGAACGCCUUUCAUCUACGGCUUAAAUGUAGCAACUACCAAUUUGAAUGAUUGAUUUAAGAACAACAUUUGUAACAAUAAAUAAGCUCUAAAAAUGAA